Molecule: ribosomal RNA, 660 nt
Filed under: Drosophila bizonata
Lineage: Eukaryota; Metazoa; Arthropoda; Insecta; Diptera; Drosophilidae
Description: eukaryotic LSU rRNA
Rfam family: Eukaryotic large subunit ribosomal RNA
Source: RNAcentral
GAAAUCAGUUCAGCACUAAGUCACUUUGUCUAUAUGGCAAAUGUGAGAUGCAGUGUAUGGAACAUCAAUAUUCUAGUAUGAGAAAUUAACGAUUUAAGUCCUUCUUAAAUGAGGCCAUUUACCCAUAGAGGGUGCCAGGCCCGUAUAACGUUAAUGAUUAUUAGAUGGUGUUUCCAAAGAGUCGUGUUGCUUGAUAGUGCAGCACUAAGUGGGUGGUAAACUCCAUCUAAAACUAAAUAUAACCAUGAGACCGAUAGUAAACAAGUACCGUGAGGGAAAGUUGAAAAGAACUCUGAAUAGAGAGUUAAAUAGUACGUGAAACUGCUUAGAGGUUAAGCCCGAUGAACCUGAAUAUCCGUUAUGGAAAAUUCAUCAUUAGACUUGUAAUAUUUUAACAAUAUUAUAAUAAUAGUGUGCAUUUUUUCCAUAUAAGGACAUUGUAAUCUAUUAGUAUCAAUAAUUUAUCAAAAAAUUUUAGAUAAGUGCUUAUUUAAAUUAGAAUGCUUGCAUUUUAACAUAAAAUAAAUGUCAUAAAUUUGAUAAAGUGCUGAUAGAUUUAUAUGAGUACAGUGCGUUAAUUUUUCGGAAUUAUAUAAUGGCAUGAUUAUCAUUGAUUUUUGUGUUUAUUAUAUGCACUUGUAUGAUUAACAAUGCGAAAGA